Molecule: long non-coding RNA, 749 nt
Organism: Homo sapiens (human)
Lineage: Eukaryota; Metazoa; Chordata; Mammalia; Primates; Hominidae
Source: Ensembl
CAGUUUCCUGUGGAUUCUCGGAGUGGAAGGUUGAUUGUCUGGACCCGGGAACUGAAGGGGUGGGGAGGGGACUAGGAGGGUGUGACAGUGGAGCUGGGACUGAAGACCCCGGGAUUCUAGUGGAAGACAUUCGAAGGGAGACCCCUUCCUUGGCAGCGGCGACCACCCAGGGCUUUGGGAGAGGAAGAAGGUCGGGGUGGAGGUUCGGGCUUAGGGGUCUUCGGCCGACACUGGAGGAGCUGCCUGGAGCUCUGUGGGGAACCUACGCCAAGUCCCGGGCAGCGGUUCCCGAAAGCAGCCCCAGUGACAUUGCACCCGGCGCCGGGCUGGGAUCUCCUCCGCUGGGGCCGCCCGUGGGAGGAGACCUCGCUGGGUGGCCGGGCUCAGGCGCUCUCGAGCGGAUUUGGGGUCACAGGCUGGGACACCGCGGAGGCCGCCAGUGUUCUGGACGAGCGGCCGUGGGACAGUAUCCGGAUCGAGUCCCCCAAUCCGCUGCAAGCAGGCGCAGAUCCGGGAGGUGGCUAUCGGCCCCGGGGACGCCGUCAGAGCGCGCUGCUCCGGAUCUGGGGGUGAAGUUGACACCCGGGACAAGAGAGCUGAACGCGGCGUGGCGGACAGUGGGGGACGCGGGUGGGCCAAGGAGAGCACGGCCGGAGUCGUGUUAGUGGCAACUCGAAACUCUGAAUCCGCCCCAACCCCGUGAGGCGUCGCAGCUCCCAAGAAAUAAUCUGACAAAAGUUAGCAACUUG